Molecule: unclassified non-coding RNA, 378 nt
Filed under: plant metagenome
Description: partial contains 5.8S ribosomal RNA, internal transcribed spacer 2, and large subunit ribosomal RNA
Rfam family: 5.8S ribosomal RNA (bases 1-105)
Source: RNAcentral
GAAAUGCGAUAAGUAAUGUGAAUUGCAGAAUUCAGUGAAUCAUCGAAUCUUUGAACGCACCUUGCGCUCCUUGGUAUUCCUUGGAGCAUGCCUUUUAGAGUAUCAUGAAAUCUUCACAGUAAAUCUUUUGUUAACUCAAUUGGUUUCUACUUUGGUAUUGGAGGUCUUUGCAGCUUCACACCUGCUCCUCUUUGUUCAUUAGCUGGAUCUCAGUGUUAUGCUUGGUUCCACUCGGCGUGAUAAGUUAUCUAUCGCUGAGGACACUGUAAAAGGUGGCCAAGGUAAAUGCAGAUGAACCGCUUCUAAUAGUCCAUUGACUUGGACAAUACUUUUAUGAUCUGAUCUCAAAUCAGGUAGGACUACCCGCUGAACUUAAGC